GAUUCAAUUAUCCCUAUUUAGCAAAAUUGUCUAUAUGGAUAAUUAAUUAUUGCGCACUAAUCAAUCAUACACAAGGACUAUAACAAUUAAAAGCAGAAAACAUAUAAAUACCAAUAAAUGAAGAAAAUAAUUAAAAACGGUUUAGAUCUCACAGUAGCUGCUGAACCAAUUCAUCAGUUGCCCCCUUGACUAGAAUUAGAGAAUUAGCCCUCCAUUUAUGGAGGACCAACUGCACAUGGAGAUUUAGGAAAAGUCGCCGAAUCGGACCUUUUACUUUCGAUCAAGAACAGAAGACAAGAACAAGGAAUUUUGAUUUCUCUCAGUUGUCUCCAAAAGCCCAAAUGUACAAGAGUCAGAUUGUUCACUUCAAUUCUCUCUAACAAAAGUAAAAGCAAUAGCCAAGAUAAGUCAACAACGGCGGCUCUUCCUCCCGAUUUGUUGCUUGCCAAACUCCUAAUCAAACGUGCAUCCGGCUUUCUCUUUUUCCCAAAGAGUCACGACUCUUUCCUUGUUUUUUGGCUGAAGUCCUAAUCAAACGGUACUCUGGCUUCCCUUAUUCUUUUUAUUUCCUAAUUGAAGUCUACUACCAAAUAAAACUAGUCUCCUAAAUAGGAAAAGAAAUCAUAAAAGAAAAUAUUCCAAGUUUUCUAAUCCAAUAUUAAAACUACUAAUGAAGAUUAAAAUCUUCAAAAUCUUCCUUCAAAAAUUGCCUUGAAUUCGACUCAGACUUGGAAACCAACCCCAAAC
Molecule: long non-coding RNA, 747 nt
Filed under: Coffea arabica (coffee)
Lineage: Eukaryota; Viridiplantae; Streptophyta; Magnoliopsida; Gentianales; Rubiaceae
Description: long non-coding RNA (CARA_LNC007709)
Source: RNAcentral